This 25-nucleotide ribosomal RNA is filed under the name Thelephora terrestris. RNAcentral describes it as "partial 28S ribosomal RNA". The record is from RNAcentral. Lineage: Eukaryota; Fungi; Basidiomycota; Agaricomycetes; Thelephorales; Thelephoraceae.
GUUCGAUCUCAAAUCAGGUAGGACU